RNAcentral lists this transfer RNA (72 nucleotides) under Aeolothrips xinjiangensis. RNAcentral's name for it is "tRNA-Arg". The record is from RNAcentral. Lineage: Eukaryota; Metazoa; Arthropoda; Insecta; Thysanoptera; Aeolothripidae.
AAAAAGAUAGCAUAUAGUAAUGCUUCUAGUUUCGACCUAGAAAAUGAUCACAAUUUUGGGGAUCUCUUUUUA